AGCAGUAGCCACGGUAAAACGUAGGUGGCAAGCGUUGUCCGGAAUUAUUGGGCGUAAAGGGCUCGCAGGCGGUUUCUUAAGUCUGAUGUGAAAGCCCCCGGCUCAACCGGGGAGGGUCAUUGGAAACUGGGAAACUUGAGUGCAGAAGAGGAGAGUGGAAUUCCACGUGUAGCGGUGAAAUGUGUAGAGAUGUGGAGGAACACCAGUGGCGAAGGCGACUCUCUGGUCUGUAACUGACGCUGAGGAGCGAAAGCGUGGGGAGCGAACAGGAUUAGAUACCCCUGUAGUCCCUGUCUCUUAUAC
Molecule: ribosomal RNA, 303 nt
Filed under: uncultured bacterium
Lineage: Bacteria
Description: partial 16S ribosomal RNA
Rfam family: Bacterial small subunit ribosomal RNA
Source: RNAcentral